GGCUGGCCCGAGUGCAGUGGUGUUUACAACUAAUUGAUCACAACCAGUUACAGAUUCCUUUGUUCCUUCUCCACUUCCACUGUCCUUUGAUUAGCCUAAA
Molecule: Y RNA, 100 nt
Filed under: Prolemur simus (greater bamboo lemur)
Lineage: Eukaryota; Metazoa; Chordata; Mammalia; Primates; Lemuridae
Description: Y RNA (ENSPSMG00000015456.1)
Rfam family: Y RNA
About the family: Y RNAs are components of the Ro ribonucleoprotein particle (Ro RNP), in association with Ro60 and La proteins. The Y RNAs and Ro60 and La proteins are well conserved, but the function of the Ro RNP is not known.
Source: Rfam by way of RNAcentral